CAAUAGCGUAUAUUAAAGUUGUUGCAGUUAAAAAGCUCGUAGUUGGAUUUCUGGUUGAAGCGACCGGUCGGGCGUUGAUUCGUCUGCACUGGAGUCGGUUUUGGCCAUCCUCUAGGAAAGUGCGUCUGGUAUUAAGUUAUCGGGCGUAUGAUCCUGGUCUUUUACUGUGAAAAAAUUAGAGUGUUUAAAGCAGGCCUUCGCCUUGAAUACAUUAGCAUGGAAUAAUAAGAUAGGACUUUGGUCUAUUUUGUUGGUUUGCAGACCGAAGUAAUGAUUAAUAGGGAUAGUUGGGGGUAUUUAUAUUCCGAUGUCAGAGGCGAAAUUCUUAGAUUUUCGGAAGAUAAACUUAUGCGAAAGCAUUUACCAAGGAUGUUUUCAUUAA
Molecule: ribosomal RNA, 382 nt
Filed under: uncultured eukaryote
Lineage: Eukaryota
Description: partial 18S ribosomal RNA
Rfam family: Eukaryotic small subunit ribosomal RNA
Source: RNAcentral